Molecule: ribosomal RNA, 142 nt
Filed under: uncultured eukaryote
Lineage: Eukaryota
Description: partial 18S ribosomal RNA
Rfam family: Eukaryotic small subunit ribosomal RNA
Source: RNAcentral
UGGUGGAGCGAUUUGUCUGGUCAAUUCCGAUAACGGACGAGACUCUAGCCUACUAAAUAGUUCGGGGACCCCCACAAAGGGGCCCCGCUCAACUUCUUAGAGGGACAGGUGGCGUUUAGCCACACGAGAUUGAGCAAUAACA